GGUUAAGUGACUAAGCGUACACGGUGGAUGCCUAGGCAGUCAGAGGCGAUGAAGGGCGUGCUAAUCUGCGAAAAGCGUCGGUAAGGUGAUAUGAACCGUUAUAACCGACGAUACCCGAAUGGGGAAACCCAGUGUGUUUCGACACACUAUCCUGUCAUGAAUACAUAGUGGCAGGAGGC
Molecule: ribosomal RNA, 179 nt
Filed under: Serratia rubidaea
Lineage: Bacteria; Pseudomonadati; Pseudomonadota; Gammaproteobacteria; Enterobacterales; Yersiniaceae
Description: partial 23S ribosomal RNA
Rfam family: Bacterial large subunit ribosomal RNA
Source: RNAcentral